RNAcentral lists this ribosomal RNA (449 nucleotides) under uncultured bacterium. Its description in RNAcentral is "bacterial SSU rRNA". It matches the Rfam family "Bacterial small subunit ribosomal RNA", at positions 328 to 794 of the family's 1533-position model. The record is from RNAcentral.
UCCCCAGACUCCUACGGGAGGCAGCAGUGGGGAAUAUUGCACAAUGGGGGGAACCCUGAUGCAGCGACGCCGCGUGGGUGAAGGAGUAUUUCGGUCUGUAAAGCUCUAUCAGCAGGGAAGAAAAUGACGGUACCUGACUAAGAAGCCCCGGCUAACUACGUGCCAGCAGCCGCGGUAAUACGUAGGGGGCAAGCGUUAUCCGGAUUUACUAGGUGUAAAGGGAGCGUAGACGGCGGCGCAAGCCAGAUGUGAAAGCCCGGGGCUCAACCCCGGGACUGCAUUUGGAACUGUGCCGCUAGAGUGUCGGAGAGGCAGGCGGAAUUCCUAGUGUAGCGGUGAAAUGCGUAGAUAUUAGGAGGAACACCAGUGGCGAAGGCGGCUUACUGGACUGUAACUGACGUUGAGGCUCGAAAGCGUGGGGAGCAAACAGGAUUAGAUACCCUAGUAGA